UACACACCGCCCGUCAAGCCAUGAAAGCGGGGAGUGCUCGAAGUCGUCUUGUCCAACCGUAAGGGGACAGCGCCGAAAGCAAGCUUCGUGAUUAGGACU
This 99-nucleotide ribosomal RNA is filed under the name uncultured bacterium. Its description in RNAcentral is "partial 16S ribosomal RNA". It matches the Rfam family "Bacterial small subunit ribosomal RNA", at positions 1384 to 1482 of the family's 1533-position model. The record is from RNAcentral.